RNAcentral lists this ribosomal RNA (716 nucleotides) under Acinetobacter sp. DH53-2. RNAcentral's name for it is "bacterial SSU rRNA". It matches the Rfam family "Bacterial small subunit ribosomal RNA", at positions 119 to 829 of the family's 1533-position model. Lineage: Bacteria; Pseudomonadati; Pseudomonadota; Gammaproteobacteria; Moraxellales; Moraxellaceae. The record is from RNAcentral.
AGGAAUCUGCCUAUUAGUGGGGGACAACAUUUCGAAAGGAAUGCUAAUACCGCAUACGUCCUACGGGAGAAAGCAGGGGAUCUUCGGACCUUGCGCUAAUAGAUGAGCCUAAGUCGGAUUAGCUAGUUGGUGGGGUAAAGGCCUACCAAGGCGAAGAUCUGGAACCGGGCUCUAAAGGAUUAUCCGCCACACUGGGACUGAGACACGGCCCAGACUCCUACGGGAGGCAGCAGUGGGGAAUAUUGGACAAUGGGCGCAAGCCUGAUCCAGCCAUGCCGCGUGUGUGAAGAAGGCCUUAUGGUUGUAAAGCACUUUAAGCGAGGAGGAGGCUACUUUAGUUAAUACCUAGAGAUAGUGGACGUUACUCGCAGAAUAAGCACCGGCUAACUCUGUGCCAGCAGCCGCGGUAAUACAGAGGGUGCAAGCGUUAAUCGGAUUUACUGGGCGUAAAGCGCGCGUAGGCGGCUAAUUAAGUCAAAUGUGAAAUCCCCGAGCUUAACUUGGGAAUUGCAUUCGAUACUGGUUAGCUAGAGUGUGGGAGAGGAUGGUAGAAUUCCAGGUGUAGCGGUGAAAUGCGUAGAGAUCUGGAGGAAUACCGAUGGCGAAGGCAGCCAUCUGGCCUAACACUGACGCUGAGGUGCGAAAGCAUGGGGAGCAAACAGGAUUAGAUACCCUGGUAGUCCAUGCCGUAAACGAUGUCUACUAGCCGUUGGGGC